CUCAUUAGUGAAUUUCAAAAUAGAUUUUCUAAGAGAUACUCAAAAAAAUUCAACACGUUAUUCUCCCCCUUUUUCAUUAAAUUAGAGGCUCUUAAAAUCAACUAUUUGAAUUGCAAUUUGGUUCAUGAUUGAUGCAUAAGAUAUACUAACCAAAUAACAAGCCUCAAGGUGUAUCGUAAAAAUUUUCAGAUUUAAAUUUCAGAUGAUAAAUAUUGGAUAGCAUUAGGAUCACUUUUCAUUUAGUAUUCUUUCUCUCUCCUUUAGUUAUGGAUUUA
RNAcentral lists this long non-coding RNA (275 nucleotides) under Phoenix dactylifera (date palm). RNAcentral describes it as "long non-coding RNA (PDAC_LNC021006)". The record is from RNAcentral. Lineage: Eukaryota; Viridiplantae; Streptophyta; Magnoliopsida; Arecales; Arecaceae.